RNAcentral lists this ribosomal RNA (494 nucleotides) under uncultured bacterium. Its description in RNAcentral is "partial 16S ribosomal RNA". It matches the Rfam family "Bacterial small subunit ribosomal RNA", at positions 28 to 507 of the family's 1533-position model. The record is from RNAcentral.
GACGAACGCUGGCGGCGUGCUUGACACAUGCAAGUCGAACGGAAAGGCCUGCUUUCCCUUGUGGAUUGCGGGUACUCGAGUGGCGAACGGGUGAGUAACACGUGAGUGAUCUGCCCCCAACUUGGGUAUAAGCCUGGGAAACUGGGUCUAAUUCCCGAUAGGACUGCAGGGUGGUGCCUGUGGUGGAAAACGAUUUUCUAGUGGUUGGGGAUGAGCUCGCGGCCUAUCAGCUUGUUGGUGGGGUAAUGGCCUACCAAGGCGGCGACGGGUAGCCGGCCUGAGAGGGUGGACCGCCACAUUGGGACUGAGAUACGGCCCAGACUCCUACGGGAGGCAGCAGUGGGGAAUAUUGCACAAUGGGCGGAAGCCUGAUGCAGCGACGCCGCGUGUGGGAUGGCGGCCUUCGGGUUGUAACCUCCUUUCGGCCGCGAGGAAGCCACCUGGUUGGAAGGGUGGUGACGGUAGUGGUAGAAGAAGCACCGGCUAACUACGUG